GACGAACGCUGGCGGCGUGCUUAACACAUGCAAGUCGUACGGUAAGGCCCUUUCGGGGGUACACGAGUGGCGAACGGGUGAGUAACACGUGAGUAACCUGCCCACAACUUUGGGAUAACGCUAGGAAACUGGUGCUAAUACUGGAUAUGUGCUCCUGCUGCAUGGUGGGGGUUGGAAAGCUCCGGCGGUUGUGGAUGGACUCGCGGCCUAUCAGCUUGUUGGUGGGGUAGUGGCCUACCAAGGCGGCGACGGGUAGCCGGCCUGAGAGGGUGACCGGCGACAUUGGGACUGAGAUACGGCCCAGACUCCUACGGGAGGCAGCAGUGGGGAAUAUUGCACAAUGGGCGCAAGCCUGAUGCAGCAACGCCGCGUGCGGGAUGACGGCCUUCGGGUUGUAAACCGCUUUCAGCAGGGACGAAGCUUUUUGUGACGGUACCUGCAGAAGAAGCACCGGCUAACUACGUG
Molecule: ribosomal RNA, 465 nt
Filed under: uncultured bacterium
Lineage: Bacteria
Description: partial 16S ribosomal RNA
Rfam family: Bacterial small subunit ribosomal RNA
Source: RNAcentral